GAUGAACGCUGGCGGCGUGCCUAAUACAUGCAAGUCGAGCGAACAGACGAGGAGCUUGCUCCUCUGACGUUAGCGGCGGACGGGUGAGUAACACGUGGAUAACCUACCUAUAAGACUGGGAUAACUUCGGGAAACCGGAGCUAAUACCGGAUAACAUGUUGAACCGCAUGGUUCAACAGUGAAAGACGGUCUUGCUGUCACUUAUAGAUGGAUCCGCGCCGCCUUAGCUAGUUGGUAAGGUAACGGCUUACCAAGGCAACGAUGCGUAGCCGACCUGAGAGGUUGAUCGGCCACACUGGAACUGAGACACGGUCCAGACUCCUACGGGAGGCAGCAGUAGGGAAUCUUCCGCAAUGGGCGAAAGCCUGACGGAGCAACGCCGCGUGAGUGAAGAAGGUCUUCGGAUCGUAAAACUCUGUUAUUAGGGAAGAACAAAUGUGUAAGUAACUAUGCACGUCUUGACGGUACCUAAUCAGAAAGCCACGGCUAACUACGUG
Molecule: ribosomal RNA, 497 nt
Filed under: uncultured bacterium
Lineage: Bacteria
Description: partial 16S ribosomal RNA
Rfam family: Bacterial small subunit ribosomal RNA
Source: RNAcentral